RNAcentral lists this transfer RNA (81 nucleotides) under Agelas schmidtii (Pipes of Pan sponge). Its description in RNAcentral is "tRNA-Ser". It matches the Rfam family "tRNA". From Rfam's summary of the family: Transfer RNA (tRNA) molecules are approximately 80 nucleotides in length. Their secondary structure includes four short double-helical elements and three loops (D, anti-codon, and T loops). Further hydrogen bonds mediate the characteristic L-shaped molecular structure. tRNAs have two regions of fundamental functional importance: the anti-codon, which is responsible for specific mRNA codon recognition, and the 3' end, to which the tRNAs corresponding amino acid is attached (by aminoacyl-tRNA synthetases). tRNAs cope with the degeneracy of the genetic code in two manners: having more than one tRNA (with a specific anti-codon) for a particular amino acid; and 'wobble' base-pairing, i.e. permitting non-standard base-pairing at the 3rd anti-codon position. Lineage: Eukaryota; Metazoa; Porifera; Demospongiae; Agelasida; Agelasidae. The record is from RNAcentral.
GGAAAAGUGGCAGAAAUGGUAUUGCAGUUAUCUUGAAAAUAAUUACUAACCGGUAUACAGGUUCGAGCCCUGUCUUUUCCU